UCUACGGGAGGCAGCAGUGGGGAAUAUUGCACAAUGGGCGCAAGCCUGAUGCAGCCAUGCCGCGUGUAUGAAGAAGGCCUUCGGGUUGUAAAGUAGUUUCAGCGGGGAGGAAGGCGACAAGGUUAAUAACCUUGUCGAUUGACGUUACCCGCAGAAGAAGCACCGGCUAACUCCGUGCCAGCAGCCGCGGUAAUA
This 195-nucleotide ribosomal RNA is filed under the name uncultured bacterium. RNAcentral describes it as "partial 16S ribosomal RNA". It matches the Rfam family "Bacterial small subunit ribosomal RNA", at positions 338 to 525 of the family's 1533-position model. The record is from RNAcentral.